Long non-coding RNA from Cornus florida, 1360 nucleotides. RefSeq lists it as uncharacterized. Lineage: Eukaryota; Viridiplantae; Streptophyta; Magnoliopsida; Cornales; Cornaceae. The transcript has 4 exons. The record is from RefSeq and is a predicted model, not a curated record.
ACAACAAAUUACUUUUUAUCUUAAUCUACAACAUUUUCAAAACCUUGUUAAUACAAUUUAAAUUUUUUCUUAAAUUUUAGCGCGACAUUUCCCCCCUUCUCUCUUUCUGUCCCUCUCUCUUUUUUUUUUUUUUUUGGUUUUUCACUCCCCACUUUGCGCUCACGACUCUUUCUCCCUGUCAAAUGAAAUAAAGGGGGUGAAUUGAAAAACCUUUUCCCAAAGGCGCUUUCAACAAGCGGGGAAAGGUAGCCAGCUGGGUCUGAAUGGGCAACCAAUUCAACAAUGAAACCCAUAUUUCUACCUUUUUUUGAAGACAAAACUGCUAUCCCCUACCUUCCUUUGCGAAGGAGACGUUGGGAAAUUGAUAGCUCUGUAAGGGCAAUACAGAUUUCUCUGUCCCCAGAUCUACAAUCUGCCAUGGCAAGGUCGUCACAAUCAAAUCGACUAAAAUAUGGGGGCUCUGCUGAAUGAAAAUCAAAUACUCAGGCUCAACAUUUCCUCUUUCCCUCUUUGAUGAAACCCUAACCUUUCUCUUCCCAAUUUCUACGACAUUCCUCAUUAAAUCAAGUUUCAUACCACAUUUGACACUUCCUUGUAUAACUUGAAUGUUCUAAUGUGAGCCCACGAGAUGUCAAUCUAUGUGACCAAAACCUUUAUUUAAGCUACUUUUCUUGCUGCAAUAGUAAUCCCUCCCUGAGGAGUGAAGGGUUCAGUUUGUUGUGAAGUCAUGUUGCCCUGUACAUGCAUAUCUCGUAAGAAGGUUGUUGCAGGACUAAAUUCUGCUGGUUGCUAGGCACCUUAAUCAGGCCAUCAAUAUGGUGAUUCAUGCUUCAUCAUCAAAGCCUGCACAGGUUCGUGUUAAAAUUGUGUAAUGUUCAAUAUUUGAAUCAGCAUGAAAUUGUGAACAACGAGAGUCCAGGAGAUAUUGCAGGAAAUGUCUUGCUGGGUACCCUUUGAGGGUGUAGAAGCUGGUAGUCGAUAUCAGCAUCAGUGUCAUUCACUUUUUCUGAAAUAAGGAGCCAGUGGAAGAAGAUCUUUCGGGAGGCUGUUUUAUGCUAAAAAGAUGUGUUCGUGAUGGGUUUAGUGUUUGUGUUUUCUGUUAUUUGGUUUUCUUACAAUUCUUAAAGGAUCGUAAUUACAUAGCAAGAUCGAUCAACGUACUAUCCAGAAAAACUCGACAUGAUUUUAGGUUACUAUUUGUAAUUAGUUUUUUUUUUUUCUCCCGGUUACUAUCAGUAAUUACUUGUUAUGUUGUUGAAGACUUUGGUUCUCAUUGUAAUUAAUCUUGAACUAGAUUUUGCAAUUGUUAACUUUCGUAUUAAUGUGAAUUGCAAGUUUAAGAAAAAAAAAAAUUUGGCUU